Molecule: RNA transcript, 6272 nt
Organism: Panicum hallii
Lineage: Eukaryota; Viridiplantae; Streptophyta; Magnoliopsida; Poales; Poaceae
Gene name: cationic amino acid transporter 1-like
Exons: 18
Source: RefSeq, a predicted model, not a curated record
CCCCCCCCCCCGCCCCGCGCGUCGCAUCCACCCUCACCUGACGUGACCCAGCGCCCGGCGGCAGUGGCGGCCGCGACGCCCGGCCUCGGACGGGGGCGCCCUCCCAAGCUAGACGUCAUGCCGCACCGCUCCGAUCCGGACCUGGAUGUUGGACCAAUGUUGUCAGGCUUCCGCUGUUCUUAUCCUGUCACUGGAAGGAAGCGUCUGAAGUUGUUGGUGGCCGAGUCAUCGGAUAGUGAACCCCUUGUCUGUCCCGUGCCAGCAUGUGAUGAUUCAGGGGGGAACUUGUUUGACCGGUGCUCGGAGGGUCAUCAAGUGGCUUCCAGUAGUGGUGACCAAACACAGAACACUAGUGUGUUUCCUGCAAUGCAGGAAAAUGUCUGUUCCACAGCUAACAACGGUGUUGUUUAUCCAAAAUCUGGGCUCGGCAAUUCAGCUGGUCGAAAUGGAACACAUGUUGCCUACCUCCAACAUCAAUAUUUGGAAGGUUGCAUGUAUAUGAACGAGCAUGGGCAGAUGUGUGGACCUUACCCACCUGAACAGCUGUAUGAGGGGCUCUCUACUGGUUUCUUGCCUCAAAACCUUGCUAUCUAUGCUGUUUUUGGUGGGAAGACAGCCGAUCCUGUUCCCUUAAGCUUUCUGAAACAGUUUCUUUCACAAUGGAAUUUUGGUGCCACGGUUUCCACUCCAAAUGCAUCCAUGGAGACAAAGAAAGUUACUCCCCAUGCUAAAGCGAUUCUUCCAGAUGAUCUUUCAAGUGAAGAAUCAUGCUGGAUGUUUGAGGAUGCGGAAGGCUGCCGACACGGGCCACAUUCUCUUGCCGAACUUUCCUAUUGGCAUCACAAUAGCUAUAUCCAAGAUCUUUCAAUGGUUUACCAUGUUGAUGGCAAAUUUGGCCCAUUCACACUUGGAUCACUAAUUGGUUUGUGGAGUGGGGAACACACAGAGUGUUCGGAAGCUACAGCUAAUGUGUCUGCACCAUUAAAUGGCUUUGUGGUUGACAUAGUUGGUGAUGUCAGCCAUCAGCUGCAUGCAGGGAUAAUGAAAUCAGCUCGUAGGGUUUUAAUUGAUGAAAUAUUCAGCUGUGUACUUCCAGAUUUAAUUGCUUCCAAGAAGACUGAGAAGCAAUUGGCUGCAAAACUGAAGAACCAAGCUAUUAAGCCUGACAGUGUUAGCAACAGGAAGGUUUCCAAACUUAAUGUCAAAGUUAACAAACCAUAUGCUUCUCCAGAAAAAGGCAAUUCCGUGUAUAAUACAGCCCAAGUGGAUUCUUCAAUGGCCAUUCAAUCUACGGCAGUACAUGACAAAUUUGCCGAUAUACUGUCAGCAGUUUGGAAAACAAUUUAUUAUGAAUCCAUGAAGAAUAUAUGGGACGGAAUACUGUCUGACCCUGUUAUGGACUACUGUGAUGUAUGGUCACAGAGAAAUUGUCAUUUGAAUCAGCCCUCUACGAUUAUUUCUGUCACCACUGAUAAUAUAAAAGCCCAAGACAGUCAUGAAAUGCCAUCAAAGGACCCUGACGCUUGCAUGGAAUUUCCACCUGGAUUUGAACCGCGUGGGAAAUCUGCUGGGUGCUCCCUCUCUGCAUCCUCAUUAGAAGCCAAUGGAAGUGCCAAUGUUGAUAGGAAGUCUGAAUCAAGCACCACUUUAUUUUCUGGCCCCUUCGAAGUAGUCCAGAGGAUGCUGGCGAACGAACUAUAUAUCUCUUCAAAGCAAUCUUUGUUUCACUAUUUUGAGGAGGUAAUUGCAGAGGAGAUAACAAAUUGUUUAUGCUAUGGACUUGAAAGCGGUAUUGAUCAGGAACAAAUUGGUACGCCAAUUCAUGCACCGGAAUCACCCAUUUCAGCCGAAGCGUCUAUGCAGGAAACACUCAGUCCUGUUGAGUUGGUUGUAGGCGAAGAACUGGAUACUGUUGAAAUGGGUGCGGCCAGAAAAGGCAGUCCAAUUGAAACACAUGCAGAUGAAGGGCUGAAUACCAUUGAAGUGGCUGUAGAUGAAGAGCAGAAUAGUAGUGAAAUGGCUGCGGCUACUAGGACCAGCCCAAUUGAAACAACUUCAGAUGAACCAUGGAGUGCUGCUGAAAUGACAACAGAUAAAACGCUCAGUUCUCAUGGAGAAGAGUGCCUUCCCCUUGUGUCUUAUGCAAGGAUAUUUGAAAAGAUGGAUAUGUGUAUGACAGCAGAAUUGGAUGAGAGUUUUGAUGAAGUUCCUCCUGGAAUGGAGAUUGGCUUAGUUCCUUUACCACUUAAGGACAAAAACAUGUAUCAGCCUUUGAGGUCAAUGAAUUAUAUUCCUGUGAUUUCUAGAUAUAUGACAUUGGCUCUCUGCCGGCAAAGACUACACGAGAAUGUUGUGAGAGAGUGGACAUCUCUCUUCUCAGAUACAAUUAGCAAGUGCUUGGACUCAUGGUACACCAGGCAAAAUGCUGUACCUAAAAUUGCAGAUGGAUCAUCAAAACUCAAAGAAUAUACAUACUACAGGAAGAGGAAAUCCAAGAAAAUCUGUCAAACAACAUCAUCAAAAGAACAUUUGGAAAUUUCAAUGGAUGAGCAGCUCUCAAAACCUCUAUGUCAGCUUGUUGACCACAAGAUUUCUGUGAAAAAUAUCCAGGAAUCAAAGAAAGCUUCAACAUCAAAGAAAGUUUCAUUUGUGGACAAGCCCUCUAAAAAAAGAACCAAGACUCUGGCUAUGGCUAAUGAUGCUCAUGAUUUGAAUAUCCAGCAAGAUCUGAAACUCGUUUCCAGUGAGGUGCCAAAAAGAACCAGGUCAUCUCAUCCACCUAAGAAGCAAGUGGUUGCUAACAAAACACCUAUGGUGAAUGAUAAUGUCAUGACAAGUAUGCUCACGAAGCCUGUCAAGAAAAGAAAGGGCAAGAAAAUUUCAAGUGAGUCCAGUCAGACGGUAGAACCGGUGAUUCCAUGGCCUAAAUCAGAUGGUUGUGCUAGAGCUUCGAUUAAUGGAUGGGAGUGGCGUAAUUGGGCGCGGAAUGCUACUCCAUCAGAAAGGGCUCGUGUGAGAGGGUAUCGUGCCCGUACAAUUCUUUCUGCCUCAGAUAAUAAGGUGUGGAAAUUUCAAGUCAAGAGGGAUUCAUCUGCAAGAACAAAUCGGGUUAAGCUGCGGCGGCUGUUAAAAGCCUAUGAAGGUUCUGAGCUGCUGAAAAUUACCCAAAUGAAGGCAAGGAAAAAGCGGUUGCGUUUUCAGAGGAGCAAGAUCCAUGAAUGGGGACUGGUUGCCCUUGAGUUGAUCCAAGCAGAAGACUUUGUUAUCGAAUAUGUUGGUGACCUGAUUCGCAAGCGGGUCUCGGACAUACGUGAGUCUCAAUAUGAGAAGAGUGGGAUUGGAAGCAGCUACCUUUUUCGGUUGGAUGAUGAUUAUGUGGUCGAUGCUACAAAGCGUGGUGGCUUAGCAAGGUUCAUAAAUCAUUCCUGUGAACCAAAUUGCUAUACAAAAGUGAUAACUGUUGAUGGCCAGAAGAAGAUUUACAUUUAUGCAAAGAGGCGUAUAUAUGCUGGUGAGGAACUUACAUAUAAUUACAAGUUUCCGCUGGAGGAAAAGAAGAUCCCAUGCUAUUGUGGUUCCCGGAGGUGCCGUGGAUCAAUGAAUUAACAAUUACGUAAGGCCAUCCUUCGAGGGAUUAAACUAGAGUUGGUACAUAGGUGUGAUUGGUGGAUUAAACUGCAUUACAUUGAAAUUUUGGCAUAGAAGUGUCGAUCUCAGAUCUAUUUGGAAGGGUUUAUAUCAGUGUCAAAGUGUGGGGUUGUGGAACAUGCUGCACUGCAAGAAGAAACUGCGCAUUAUACUUAUUUAAGGCAGACUAGAUUAUUUCAAGGUAUCCCGAGGAUGGUGCAAGAGGCUGAUACAUGAUCAUGUCACCGCUGCCUUCUGGAGGUGGUAGACAUGAGAAAUUCAGUUGAGGAUGAGCUGAGCUAGUGAAUGGUUGCUUUCUGACAAGGUACAAAGCUGCAUAGACCUGUCGAAUCAUCCAUGAGGUACGCAUGUAGGCGUCCAAGAAUUUUCCAAAUGCGUGUGGUAUGUGUUCCAUCUCUUGAUUGGUUGUCCAUAUGCUCUCCUUCGUGCAUUUUGAUCUUAACAUUAGAGCCACUAACACUCACUCCGGUCACAAAUCCGGGCAAAGUUAUGAAACAUUGACCGUUAUAUUAUAAAUAUCUAGUUUAAAGACAAAAAUCACAUGUGUCGAUUUGUCUUGAAAAGAUGAUCUGUAAAUAUAUUAGAUUUUAUAGAUAUACCACCAUAGAAAAGUUUGGAGACAAUACGUGUAGAUGUGUCUUAAAAAGAUACUUUACUCAAAUUUAUAAGGUUUUGUGAUAUACUUUAAUAGAAAAAAAACACAAAGUAGUGGUCAAAAGCAAUAGACCGGAGAGCAUGUCAUGUCAUAUCACCUAGAUGCAGUAACAUUUUUCUAUACCAUUAAAGCACCAACAGUGCUUCUCUGAUUUUCACUGUUUCGUGUUAGCCACAGAAUUAGGUUCGGCAGCAUGCUUGCUCGGACGCAUGCAUGCAAAUGGAUCCACAAGCUUCAGUGUGGCAUUCGCUGAUGGAGCCCGUGCACGCUUGCUUGGUGUGUGCAUGAACUAGCCACGUACCAUAUGGCCAAGAUUUUGGUUGCCUACACAACAUGGCCAAAAAUGCAUGGGUUCUGAGCUUGUGAUGGAGGCAUCUCAAGUUCUUACCAUCCAAAUGUGUGAGAAGGUCUUAAGGUUAGCCAAAUCUAAACAAGUAAGCCUGCACGGGCUGAAGGCGAGAGUAAGACCAGCACAAAAAGAGGCAAGCAAAACACGGAUCGAAAAACGAGGUCGUACGUUUCUCUAUAGCAAUUGGGAGCAAACGAAAGGGAAGAUAUUGAUUGGCUUCGCUGUCUCUCUUGAAAGAUACGUGGAUUAGUAGGAUCACAAAUCUAAGCUCUUCAGACGUGGUGUAGCUUGCCAGACUCGUUGCUGAAGCUGAAAGUCCACCUCGUAGAGAACCCAGGCCCAUUUUCAUCGUUGACGUAGGAAGCACACCCGUACAGCACGCGCAUCGGUAGAGUAGUACUAUCGUUUUGUCUUUACUUUUGGAGAGGAGGUAGAGCAUAUAAGUAAUUCUUUCUACAUCUUUUGGUCGAUAGAGUAGUUCCCUGUUACUUGAAAUUGGAGUAAACUUUUGGGCCUGGGUCUGGACUAGGAAAGUAGGAAUUAUGAAUUUCUUCCUGGGCCUAGCUCUUUGAACACUAAAAAGAACACUGAACCGGUGGUGUACAGUAACAAAAGUGAGUGCAGUUCCACAUGAAGCUUAAAAAGUUAUCAUCUCCUAGAUGUUACCCUCUGGGUCAAAAUACUCCAUUUUCCAAAUGUGGGUCAUACUUUUGUCCCAAGUUAAACUUCUCUAACUUUGAUCAAAGUUAUAGAAGUUUAACUUGCAGUUUGGAACGGCGGGAGUAUUUGAUUUAGACAUCAACUGUCUUUGAUGGGUACCAUUGACCACUGUUUUUUUAAAAAAUAUGGUUUAUAAAAUUAUGUCAUUAUUGAAGUACUUUUCAAGAGAAUAUGCACAUAUGAUUCCGUGUUCCUAGGCUGAACAUUUUAAAAGUUAUUGUUAGUCAAAGUUUUCACAAGUUCGUGACCUGAGAAACUACUAUUAUUACUACUGCUUCUUUGCUAGCUAUGGAAACUCUUUGUUUCAAAUAGGCACGAGUUAGCAAAAUGCCAUAAAAAUAACUCGUUAGGGGUUGAGAUGUACCUUUAGCUAUUUGCUGUUGAAGUUGGUAAGAAUCCAACCCUGCCUGCCUAGGUGGCUAGGUGACUUGUCUCGUCGCUAGAUAGUUUAUCUCGUGGACAUUUUCAGUUUAUUCAGUACAACCGGCUACUAGAUGGAACUGUUUGCUUAUACAUCACUAUCAACGGCCUUGUGCUUUGUUGGAAGAGCAUAGGUAAGCUUGGUGUCAAUUUAACGGCUAAGGUAUACUUGUUUGUGAAUCGAUUUCUUAAAAUCAGCACUAAGCCUUGAUAACUCCAAAAAAGCAUUGUGUUCUAUGUUUUCUCUUUAGGAGUGUGGCUUUCUUUUAGUUAGUUUCAUCAUGUUGAUGGUGGUUAGCUCAACUCUGAGUGUAAAAGUAAAGGGUGUGGGCACUUUAUUUUCUCUCCUAAUCGUCGAACAGGAAUGUAGUGUAUGUAGAAAGGAUGCACAGUUGUGUGUUGCCUAAUUCUUGUAACAGUGUAACAUGUCAAGACCAAAUUCCAAUCAAGAGGCAAACAAUGCAUAUCAAAGUGUUCCUA